CAUAAAUCCAAAAACAGGCUCUACAUAAAUUUUUCUAUGACUAUAGAUUUUUUUCGUUUCUGGUUCAGAAAGCUUUUGAUUAAUUUGGGCUUUAAUGUAUUUCAAAGUAAAAUUACAUGUUAAUACGUAGUAUUAAUGGCGAGACUCCUGAAGGAGCAGUGCCAGUCGAAGACCGAGGCUGAGACGGCACCCUAGGAAGUGACCCAUCAUCAAAAAUUCUAUUUAUAGAAUUUUACAG
Molecule: non-coding RNA, 238 nt
Filed under: Staphylococcus aureus
Lineage: Bacteria; Bacillati; Bacillota; Bacilli; Caryophanales; Staphylococcaceae
Description: S. aureus tsr24 small RNA
Rfam family: S. aureus tsr24 small RNA
Source: RNAcentral